UACGUAGGGGGCGAGCGUUAUCCGGAUUCACUGGGUGUAAAGGGAGCGUAGACGGCCAUGCAAGCCAGGGGUGAAAGCCCGGGGCCCAACCCCGGGACUGCCCUUGGAACUGCAUGGCUGGAGUGCUGGAGAGGCAAUCGGAAUUCCGUGUGUAGCGGUGAAAUGCGUAGAUAUACGGAGGAACACCAGUGGCGAAGGCGGAUUGCUGGACAGUAACUGACGCUGAGGCGCGAAAGCGUGGGGAGCAAACAGG
This 253-nucleotide ribosomal RNA is filed under the name uncultured bacterium. RNAcentral describes it as "partial 16S ribosomal RNA". It matches the Rfam family "Bacterial small subunit ribosomal RNA", at positions 524 to 776 of the family's 1533-position model. The record is from RNAcentral.